Long non-coding RNA from Lolium rigidum, 1416 nucleotides. RefSeq lists it as uncharacterized. The transcript is spliced from 3 exons. The record is from RefSeq and is a predicted model, not a curated record. Lineage: Eukaryota; Viridiplantae; Streptophyta; Magnoliopsida; Poales; Poaceae.
UCUCCACCUUGUUUUUCUUUUUCUCUUGGUCGUACCAACUCCAGCCCAGCUAAUCAGCAGCCCAGGUUCUCAUCUUUCACGUGUCUUCUCCUUGCACAGAGAGAGCACGAGACUAGCGUGUAUCUCCACGAAGUCAUUGAGCCAACCACUCCAUUUUUCCUCUCAAUAAUUCUCCACCAGCGCCAGAUCCAACCCUAGCCGCUCCCCUUCCUUCCUCCUCAGCGCCGCCACCCUCUCUUCCUUUCCUUUCAGCCAAACCAGAUAGCGUGAGAAGAAGUUCCAGAAAGUUCGGACAAAUCUUCAGUUAAACACCGAACAUGGCCGGAAGAAAAUCGACGAGCGUCGUCGUUCCUCGCCGCAGGCUGUCGCGAUGAUCGCGGGGAUGGAGCUCUCGUGGCCUCCUCUUCCUCCUCGUUGAGUUCACGGAGGCGGCGCUGCUCUGCUGUGUCGCAGGCAUCCUCGACAUCUUCUCCAACAACAUCCGUCACCGAGCACGUCUUCGUUGUUUUCGUCGCCGUUGGGUCGUCCCCGUCCUCAGCGAGCCCCUCCUCAUCUUCCUGUUAAAACUUCAGAAGCUGUAGCUUCGGCGCGUCAAAACGGACGGAACCUGCUUCCCUCUCUCCGCGUUCUGCAUCCUCUGGCCUGCGCCUCCAUGCUCGCCCGUUCCCUGUCAGUUCGCUCACCUCUCCAACACGCUCCGCCUCGAGCCGGUACUGCCUGCAUCAGCAUGUUUAUAAGCGCGUCCUCGUCACCGUGUGUGUUUCUUCGUCAGUUAGCCAAGCCUCAGUUUUCAGGUUACGUGAUCAAUGGUCAACAGCAGCUGCAGUCCAAUUCCACGCGCGCCUGGCCGCCUUGUACCUCUCGCGUUCCAUGCUCAGCAGCAGCAGCUACCAUCGACAGCUUCCUACUCCCUAGCACCUGGCCGUCCUAUCGUUUACUUUGCAGGUUUUCCGGCCGCUUCGGUCGCCGUAUGCAUGGGCCGUUCCUUGUCGCUGCUGCUCUGUUUGUCGAGGCGCCCUUUACCUGUUCGACGAAACUCCUGCAAGGGUCUCUGCUUGUAUUCCCGGCGUUUCCAAUCUGUUGAUGUACAGCCUCUCCCAUCACCCAGCAACCACACAACAGUAACAGCAGUUUACUGCUCGCGCAGUAGCGCUACCUCUUGGUCCUGCCUUUUCCAGCAACCCACCUGGUUCAUCUACUCGUAUUCAUACAAUCAACUGAACAUUCGUAUGUCUUUCCUAUACAAUCAAGCCAUGCAGCAGCUUAUCUUUGUUUGACAAUCAAGUCCUUUAAAUCUAGUCAAGCUAUUAAUUGCUUGGCCAUUUUUACAUCAGUGUAUCCCGGCGUUACGACAUCCUGGCGUCAGCUUCAGAUGCUUCGCUACUUCUUAUACUUCAUCGGCUGUCUUCUCCGAUC